Molecule: ribosomal RNA, 440 nt
Filed under: uncultured bacterium
Lineage: Bacteria
Description: partial 16S ribosomal RNA
Rfam family: Bacterial small subunit ribosomal RNA
Source: RNAcentral
CCUACGGGUGGCAGCAGUGGGGAAUAUUGGACAAUGGGGGGAACCCUGAUCCAGCGACGCCGCGUGAGUGAAGAAGUCUUUCGGUAUGUAAAGCUCUAUCAGCAGGGAAGAAAAUGACGGUACCUGACUCAGCAGCCCCGGCUAACUACGUGCCAGCAGCCGCGGUAAUACGUAGGGGUCAAGCGUUAUCCGGAUUUGCUGGGGGUAAAGGGGGCGUAGAAGGUGCAGCAAGUCUGAGGUGAAAUGUCGGGGCCCAACCCCGGAAUUGCAGUGGAAACUGUUGAACUGGAGUACAGGAGAGGUAAGCGGAAGUCCUAGUGUAGCGGUGAAAUGCGUAGAUAUUAGGAGGAACACCAGUGGCGAAGGCGGCUUACUGGACUGUAACUGACGUUGAGGCUCGAAAGCGUGGGGAGCAAACAGGAUUAGAUACCCCAGUAGUC